GCGCACCAGUCGAGAAACUUUACAAUGUGCGAAAGCACGAUAAGGGAACUCUGAGUGCCUCCUAAGGAGGCUGUUCAGGUGUCUAAAAGCACCUGGAGUAAGGGCUGGGUAAGACCGGUGCCAGCCGCCGCGGUAACACCGGCAGCCCAGGUGGUAGCCACUUUUAUUGGGUCUAAAGCGUCCGUAGCCGGUUGAGUAAGUUCCUUGGGAAAUUUGGCUGCUCAACAGUCAAGCUUCCAGGGAAUACUGCUCGACUUGGGACUGGGAGAGGUCAGAGGUACUCCAGGGGUAGGGGUGAAAUCCAUUAAUCCCUGGGGGACCACCGGUAGCGAAGGCGUCUGACCAGACCAGGUCCGACGGUGAGGGACGAAGGCUAGGGUCGGCGAACCGGAUUAGAUA
Molecule: ribosomal RNA, 399 nt
Filed under: uncultured microorganism
Description: bacterial SSU rRNA
Rfam family: Archaeal small subunit ribosomal RNA
Source: RNAcentral